Molecule: ribosomal RNA, 1010 nt
Filed under: fungal sp.
Lineage: Eukaryota; Fungi
Description: eukaryotic LSU rRNA
Source: RNAcentral
GCGGGAAUAMAMSGSCCCGUGAAACGGGCCGCCCCCGCCAGARGACCCUUAACUCUGUUUCUAUAAUGUUUCUUCUGAGUAAAACAAGCAAAUAAAUUAAAACUUUCAACAACGGAUCUCUUGGCUCUGGCAUCGAUGAAGAACGCAGCGAAAUGCGAUAAGUAAUGUGAAUUGCASAAUUCAGUGAAUCAUCGAAUCUUUGAACGCACAUUGCGCCCGCCAGUAUUCUGGCGGGCAUGCCUGUUCGAGCGUCAUUACAACCCUCAGGCCCCCGGGCCUGGCGUUGGGGAUCGGCGGAGCCUCUCUGUGGGCACACGCCGUCCCCCAAAUACAGUGGCGGUCCCGCCGCAGCUUCCAUCGCGUAGUAGCUAACACCUCGCGACUGGAGAGCGGCGCGGCCACGCCGUAAAACACCCAACUCUUCUGAAGUUGACCUCGAAUCAGGUAGGAAUACCCGCUGAACUUAAGCAUAUCAAUAAGCGGAGGAAAAGAAACCAACAGGGAUUGCCUCAGUAACGGCGAGUGAAGCGGCAACAGCUCAAAUUUGAAAUCUGGCUCUCGGGCCCGAGUUGUAAUUUGUAGAGGAUGCUUUUGGUGAGGUGCCUUCCGAGUUCCCUGGAACGGGACGCCAUAGAGGGUGAGAGCCCCGUCUGGUUGGACGCCGAACCUCUGUAAAGCUCCUUCGACGAGUCGAGUAGUUUGGGAAUGCUGCUCUAAAUGGGAGGUAUAUGUCUUCUAAAGCUAAAUACCGGCCAGAGACCGAUAGCGCACAAGUAGAGUGAUCGAAAGAUGAAAAGAACUUUGAAAAGAGAGUUAAACAGUACGUGAAAUUGUUGAAAGGGAAGCGCUUGUGACCAGACUUGGGCUUGGUUGAUCAUCCGGGGUUCUCCCCGGUGCACUCUUCCGGCCCAGGCCAGCAUCAGUUCGCCCUGGGGGACAAAGGCUUCGGGAACGUGGCUCUCUCCGGGGAGUGUUAUAGCCCGUUGCGUAAUACCCUGUGGCGGACUGAG